UGACCCUGCAGCUCUGGGAGAGGAGCCCAGCGCCAGAAUUCCCAGGUGUUUCUGUUCGGCCAUCAGCAGUAAACACACAGAACACACCAUGGAGUUUGUGCUGAGCUGGGUUUUCCUUGUUGCUCUUUUGAAAGGUGUCCAGUGUGAGGUGCAGCUGGUGGAGUCUGGGGGCGGUUUGGUAAAGCCUGGGGGGUCCCUGAGACUCUCCUGUGCAGCCUCCGGAUUCACCUUCAGUAGCUACUACAUGAGCUGGGUCCGCCAGGCUCCAGGGAAGGGGCUGGAGUGGGUCUCAGCUAUUAAUAGUGGUGGGGGUAGCACAUGGUACGCAGACUCCGUGAAGGGCAGAUUCACCAUCUCCAGAGAGAACUCCAAGAACACGCUGUAUCUGCAAAUGGACAGCCUGAAAGCCGAGGACACGGCUGUGUAUUACUGUGCGAGAGACACAGUGAGGGGAAGUCGGUGGACCCACAAAUUGCAAUACAGUGAGUUCCUCAUUCUCACCUACACAGGGAGCUCUUCGUUCUCGUCCACAGAAGGAGCUCCUCAUUCUCAUCCACACAGGGAGCUCCUCAUUCUCAUCCACACAGGGAGUUCUUCAUUUUCUUCAAAAGGUGCUUAUUUGUGA
Molecule: non-coding RNA, 625 nt
Organism: Piliocolobus tephrosceles (Ugandan red Colobus)
Lineage: Eukaryota; Metazoa; Chordata; Mammalia; Primates; Cercopithecidae
Source: the annotation of a RefSeq genome assembly